This 2902-nucleotide ribosomal RNA is filed under the name Escherichia coli. Its description in RNAcentral is "bacterial LSU rRNA". It matches the Rfam family "Bacterial large subunit ribosomal RNA". The record is from RNAcentral. Lineage: Bacteria; Pseudomonadati; Pseudomonadota; Gammaproteobacteria; Enterobacterales; Enterobacteriaceae.
UUAAGCGACUAAGCGUACACGGUGGAUGCCCUGGCAGUCAGAGGCGAUGAAGGACGUGCUAAUCUGCGAUAAGCGUCGGUAAGGUGAUAUGAACCGUUAUAACCGGCGAUUUCCGAAUGGGGAAACCCAGUGUGUUUCGACACACUAUCAUUAACUGAAUCCAUAGGUUAAUGAGGCGAACCGGGGGAACUGAAACAUCUAAGUACCCCGAGGAAAAGAAAUCAACCGAGAUUCCCCCAGUAGCGGCGAGCGAACGGGGAGCAGCCCAGAGCCUGAAUCAGUGUGUGUGUUAGUGGAAGCGUCUGGAAAGGCGCGCGAUACAGGGUGACAGCCCCGUACACAAAAAUGCACAUGCUGUGAGCUCGAUGAGUAGGGCGGGACACGUGGUAUCCUGUCUGAAUAUGGGGGGACCAUCCUCCAAGGCUAAAUACUCCUGACUGACCGAUAGUGAACCAGUACCGUGAGGGAAAGGCGAAAAGAACCCCGGCGAGGGGAGUGAAAAAGAACCUGAAACCGUGUACGUACAAGCAGUGGGAGCACGCUUAGGCGUGUGACUGCGUACCUUUUGUAUAAUGGGUCAGCGACUUAUAUUCUGUAGCAAGGUUAACCGAAUAGGGGAGCCGAAGGGAAACCGAGUCUUAACUGGGCGUUAAGUUGCAGGGUAUAGACCCGAAACCCGGUGAUCUAGCCAUGGGCAGGUUGAAGGUUGGGUAACACUAACUGGAGGACCGAACCGACUAAUGUUGAAAAAUUAGCGGAUGACUUGUGGCUGGGGGUGAAAGGCCAAUCAAACCGGGAGAUAGCUGGUUCUCCCCGAAAGCUAUUUAGGUAGCGCCUCGUGAAUUCAUCUCCGGGGGUAGAGCACUGUUUCGGCAAGGGGGUCAUCCCGACUUACCAACCCGAUGCAAACUGCGAAUACCGGAGAAUGUUAUCACGGGAGACACACGGCGGGUGCUAACGUCCGUCGUGAAGAGGGAAACAACCCAGACCGCCAGCUAAGGUCCCAAAGUCAUGGUUAAGUGGGAAACGAUGUGGGAAGGCCCAGACAGCCAGGAUGUUGGCUUAGAAGCAGCCAUCAUUUAAAGAAAGCGUAAUAGCUCACUGGUCGAGUCGGCCUGCGCGGAAGAUGUAACGGGGCUAAACCAUGCACCGAAGCUGCGGCAGCGACGCUGAUGCGUUGUUGGGUAGGGGAGCGUUCUGUAAGCCUGCGAAGGUGUGCUGUGAGGCAUGCUGGAGGUAUCAGAAGUGCGAAUGCUGACAUAAGUAACGAUAAAGCGGGUGAAAAGCCCGCUCGCCGGAAGACCAAGGGUUCCUGUCCAACGUUAAUCGGGGCAGGGUGAGUCGACCCCUAAGGCGAGGCCGAAAGGCGUAGUCGAUGGGAAACAGGUUAAUAUUCCUGUACUUGGUGUUACUGCGAAGGGGGGACGGAGAAGGCUAUGUUGGCCGGGCGACGGUUGUCCCGGUUUAAGCGUGUAGGCUGGUUUUCCAGGCAAAUCCGGAAAAUCAAGGCUGAGGCGUGAUGACGAGGCACUACGGUGCUGAAGCAACAAAUGCCCUGCUUCCAGGAAAAGCCUCUAAGCAUCAGGUAACAUCAAAUCGUACCCCAAACCGACACAGGUGGUCAGGUAGAGAAUACCAAGGCGCUUGAGAGAACUCGGGUGAAGGAACUAGGCAAAAUGGUGCCGUAACUUCGGGAGAAGGCACGCUGAUAUGUAGGUGAAGCGACUUGCUCGUGGAGCUGAAAUCAGUCGAAGAUACCAGCUGGCUGCAACUGUUUAUUAAAAACACAGCACUGUGCAAACACGAAAGUGGACGUAUACGGUGUGACGCCUGCCCGGUGCCGGAAGGUUAAUUGAUGGGGUCAGCGCAAGCGAAGCUCUUGAUCGAAGCCCCGGUAAACGGCGGCCGUAACUAUAACGGUCCUAAGGUAGCGAAAUUCCUUGUCGGGUAAGUUCCGACCUGCACGAAUGGCGUAAUGAUGGCCAGGCUGUCUCCACCCGAGACUCAGUGAAAUUGAACUCGCUGUGAAGAUGCAGUGUACCCGCGGCAAGACGGAAAGACCCCGUGAACCUUUACUAUAGCUUGACACUGAACAUUGAGCCUUGAUGUGUAGGAUAGGUGGGAGGCUUUGAAGUGUGGACGCCAGUCUGCAUGGAGCCGACCUUGAAAUACCACCCUUUAAUGUUUGAUGUUCUAACGUUGACCCGUGAUCCGGGUUGCGGACAGUGUCUGGUGGGUAGUUUGACUGGGGCGGUCUCCUCCUAAAGAGUAACGGAGGAGCACGAAGGUUGGCUAAUCCUGGUCGGACAUCAGGAGGUUAGUGCAAUGGCAUAAGCCAGCUUGACUGCGAGCGUGACGGCGCGAGCAGGUGCGAAAGCAGGUCAUAGUGAUCCGGUGGUUCUGAAUGGAAGGGCCAUCGCUCAACGGAUAAAAGGUACUCCGGGGAUAACAGGCUGAUACCGCCCAAGAGUUCAUAUCGACGGCGGUGUUUGGCACCUCGAUGUCGGCUCAUCACAUCCUGGGGCUGAAGUAGGUCCCAAGGGUAUGGCUGUUCGCCAUUUAAAGUGGUACGCGAGCUGGGUUUAGAACGUCGUGAGACAGUUCGGUCCCUAUCUGCCGUGGGCGCUGGAGAACUGAGGGGGGCUGCUCCUAGUACGAGAGGACCGGAGUGGACGCAUCACUGGUGUUCGGGUUGUCAUGCCAAUGGCACUGCCCGGUAGCUAAAUGCGGAAGAGAUAAGUGCUGAAAGCAUCUAAGCACGAAACUUGCCCCGAGAUGAGUUCUCCCUGACUCCUUGAGAGUCCUGAAGGAACGUUGAAGACGACGACGUUGAUAGGCCGGGUGUGUAAGCGCAGCGAUGCGUUGAGCUAACCGGUACUAAUGAACCGUGAGGCUUAACCUU